UAGGUGUGGAAACCUAUGUUCUCCUUC
This 27-nucleotide small RNA is filed under the name Bombyx mori (domestic silkworm). RNAcentral's name for it is "ovarian small RNA-22799". The record is from RNAcentral. Lineage: Eukaryota; Metazoa; Arthropoda; Insecta; Lepidoptera; Bombycidae.